This 253-nucleotide ribosomal RNA is filed under the name uncultured bacterium. Its description in RNAcentral is "partial 16S ribosomal RNA". It matches the Rfam family "Bacterial small subunit ribosomal RNA", at positions 524 to 776 of the family's 1533-position model. The record is from RNAcentral.
UACAGAGGUCCCAAGCGUUGUUCGGAUUCACUGGGCGUAAAGGGUGCGUAGGUGGCGCGGUAAGUUGGAUGUGAAAGCUCGGAGCUCAACUCCGAAAUGGCAUUGGAAACUACCUUGCUCGAGGGUUGGAGGGGGGACUGGAAUUCUCGGUGUAGCAGUGAAAUGCGUAGAUAUCGAGAGGAACACCAGUGGCGAAGGCGAGUCCCUGGACAACUCCUGACACUGAGGCACGAAAGCUAGGGGAGCAAACAGG